ACUGCAACACAUUUUUACAGCUAGUAUUAGUCAAUAACUCAAUACUCAAUAGACAGCUAGAUAGGAGUAUAGGACACUAAAUUGUGACUUAUCUGGAUGAUUUCAGCAGCCUCCCAUCCAUGAGCACACCAUACCUCCAGCUGGUGAUUACAAUACAAGUGGAUAGGACAAUAAUAGAAGUGCACAACACAAUUUAUAAAUAAAGCACAGCACAAACACAUAGUUCUUAGUUCAGGUCUCACAAAUAAUAAAAGAAGGCACACAGACACAUAAACAAGGUGACACAGCUGCAGUCCAUAUCAUAUUUCUUCUUCACUGUAGUCCCUAUUCUCAUCUUCAUACUCUUCUUCUUCAGACUCAAAUUCUUCUCCUUCAUAGAGCUCUCUCACUCUUGCACUUCUACGCCUCUCAAGCUGUUCAUCUGCUCCCACUGCCUCUCCAAUGACAGACCAAGGUAUCCCUGUACCUUCCAUCUCAUCUUCCUCCCCAUCUCUAAAUUCAACCAAUGCACAAUCAUCCCCAC
This 523-nucleotide long non-coding RNA is filed under the name Sorghum bicolor (sorghum). Its description in RNAcentral is "long non-coding RNA (SBIC_LNC003678)". Lineage: Eukaryota; Viridiplantae; Streptophyta; Magnoliopsida; Poales; Poaceae. The record is from RNAcentral.